This 603-nucleotide ribosomal RNA is filed under the name uncultured fungus. RNAcentral describes it as "eukaryotic LSU rRNA". It matches the Rfam family "Eukaryotic large subunit ribosomal RNA", at positions 23 to 641 of the family's 3401-position model. The record is from RNAcentral. Lineage: Eukaryota; Fungi.
ACCCGCUGAACUUAAGCAUAUCAAUAAGCGGAGGAAAAGAAACCAACAGGGAUUGCCCUAGUAACGGCGAGUGAAGCGGCAACAGCUCAAAUUUGAAAUCUGGCUCUUUUAGAGUCCGAGUUGUAAUUUGCAGAGGGCGCUUUGGCUUUGGCAGCGGUCCAAGUUCCUUGGAACAGGACGUCACAGAGGGUGAGAAUCCCGUACGUGGUCGCUGGCUAUUGCCGUGUAAAGCCCCUUCGACGAGUCGAGUUGUUUGGGAAUGCAGCUCUAAAUGGGAGGUACAUUUCUUCUAAAGCUAAAUAUUGGCCAGAGACCGAUAGCGCACAAGUAGAGUGAUCGAAAGAUGAAAAGCACUUUGGAAAGAGAGUCAAACAGCACGUGAAAUUGUUGAAAGGGAAGCGCUUGCAGCCAGACUUGCUUACAGUUGCUCAUCCGGGCUUUUGCCCGGUGCACUCUUCUGUAGGCAGGCCAGCAUCAGUUUGGGCGGUAGGAUAAAGGUCUCUGUCACGUACCUCUCUUCGGGGAGGCCUUAUAGGGGAGACGACAUACUACCAGCCUGGACUGAGGUCCGCGCAUCUGCUAGGAUGCUGGCGUAAUGGUCUU